This 821-nucleotide ribosomal RNA is filed under the name Bacillus sp. BLDJ 14. Its description in RNAcentral is "bacterial SSU rRNA". It matches the Rfam family "Bacterial small subunit ribosomal RNA", at positions 386 to 1204 of the family's 1533-position model. Lineage: Bacteria; Bacillati; Bacillota; Bacilli; Caryophanales; Bacillaceae. The record is from RNAcentral.
UGGCAGCAAUGCCGCGUGAGCGAAGAAGGCCUUCGGGUCGUAAAGCUCUUUUGUUAGAGAAGAACAAGUACGAGAGUAACUGCUCGUACCUUGACGGUACCUAACCAAAAAGCCACGGCUAACUACGUGCCAGCAGCCGCGGUAAUACGUAGGUGGCAAGCGUUAUCCGGAAUUAUUGGGCGUAAAGCGCGCGCAGGCGGUCUCUUAAGUCUGAUGUGAAAGCCCACGGCUCAACCGGGGAGGGUCAUUGGAAACUGGGAGACUUGAGUGCAGGAGAGAAAAGUGGAAUUCCACGUGUAGCGGUGAAAUGCGUAGAGAUGUGGAGGAACACCAGUGGCGAAGGCGGCUUUUUGGCCUGUAACUGACGCUGAGGCGCGAAAGCGUGGGGAGCAAACAGGAUUAGAUACCCUGGUAGUCCACGCCGUAAACGAUGAGUGCUAGGUGUUGGGGGGUUCCACCCUCAGUGCUGAAGUUAACACAUUAAGCACUCCGCCUGGGGAGUACGACCGCAAGGUUAAAACUCAAAGGAAUUGACGGGGGCCCGCACAAGCAGUGGAGCAUGUGGUUUAAUUCGAAGCAACGCGAAGAACCUUACCAGGUCUUGACAUCCUUUGACCACUCUAGAGAUAGAGCUUUCCCCUUCGGGGGACAAAGUGACAGGUGGUGCAUGGUUGUCGUCAGCUCGUGUCGUGAGAUGUUGGGUUAAGUCCCGCAACGAGCGCAACCCUUGACUUAUUUGCCAGCAUUCAGUUGGGCACUCUAAGGUGACUGCCGGUGACAAACGGAGGAAGGUGGGGAUGACGUCAAUCUCAUGCCCCUUA